Non-coding RNA from Cinara cedri, 512 nucleotides. Lineage: Eukaryota; Metazoa; Arthropoda; Insecta; Hemiptera; Aphididae. The record is from the annotation of a GenBank genome assembly.
CAAUUAUGCGAUUAUUGUUUAUUGAAAAAAAAAAAAAAAAAAAAAAAGCACUCGGAGAAAUUUCAAUGUACCCGUGUAUUUUGUUAUUUGUUCAAGACUAGAAAUUGUUCGGUUUUUUUUCCCCUCUUCUUGCCCGCAGCUACAGAAAUAACGUUAUUAUUAUUCAUCGAUGAAAAUCCGCGUCAUACCGUGCAGUAUAGUCGUAAUUUUUGGAAAGAAAAAUAAAUAGUAAUAAAAAAAAAAUCGAAUAAUAUAAUUAUCGCGAUAUAAACACGCUAUUUGCCCGUAACGGCGUUUUCUUUUAUUCGGUAUAUAGGGACGGCCACAGAAUUUUAAUAUUCUAAUCGGAAGCGUAAUCCGAAAAAAUUACCGCUGCGAUAAUGACGCAUUGAUCUUAAAGGUAGAAAAAAAACAACCAAUUAAGAAUACGAAGGAUAACGUUUGCCCCUCCCCUUUUUUAAUAGCGAAUCGACUAAUUUACACUCCGAACGUCCUUAAGAAAUCGUUGUAGC